This 203-nucleotide small nucleolar RNA is filed under the name Bipolaris maydis C5. Lineage: Eukaryota; Fungi; Ascomycota; Dothideomycetes; Pleosporales; Pleosporaceae. The record is from RNAcentral.
CAGUCUCUUGCCUCGCUCAAUCCGCUGUUCCAUUUGGCGGAUUUCGAGCUGGAUACAUACAUGUUCACUCUCUCUCUCUAUCUUUCUUCGAAAAUAGAGACGUGUCAUGUGCGUACGAGACAAGACUAAAUGCGACGAUUUUUGAGUACGGAACCGCCUGAUUCCAUGUGUCGGACCUCCGUAAUUUAUCUGUCGGGACAUAC